AUUGAACGCUGGCGGCAGGCCUAACACAUGCAAGUCGAACGCGUGUCGGUCGGUUUAGUAAUGUCUGGGAAACCCCCUCAUCGCGGGGGAUAACUACUGGAAACGGUUGCUAAUACCGUAUACCAUCUGAUGUGCCCAUAUGGUAUUAGCUACUAGGUGGGGUAACGGCUCACCUAGGCGACGAUCCCUAGCUGGUCUGAGAGGAUGACCAGCCACACUGGAACUGAGACACGGUCCAGACUCCGACGGGAGGCAGGAGUGGGGGAUAUUGCACAAUGGGCGCAAGCCUGAUGCAGCCAUGCCGCGUGUAGGAAGAAGGCCUUCGGGUUGUAAAGUACGUUCAGCGGGGAGGCGUUACCCGCAGAAGAAGCACCGGCUAACCCCGUGCCAGCAGCCGCGGUAAUAC
RNAcentral lists this ribosomal RNA (406 nucleotides) under uncultured bacterium. Its description in RNAcentral is "partial 16S ribosomal RNA". It matches the Rfam family "Bacterial small subunit ribosomal RNA", at positions 30 to 526 of the family's 1533-position model. The record is from RNAcentral.